UCGAUGGGAUUUAUCUCCAAAAACACGGAGGUAGAUUAUAGGGUAUAUAUAUAUACACACACACACCAUCCGAUCCCUCGGUACAUACGGAUCUCUAUGCAACCAAAUAAAAAUUAAUGGAUAUUUUUUUCAUUCAUUUAAAAUUUAAAAAUAUAAAAAUAAAGUUAUAAAUAUUGAUAGGAUGGAAAAAUAUUUAAAAUCAUUAAUGUAGAUAAGAUGGGCAA
This 224-nucleotide long non-coding RNA is filed under the name Elaeis guineensis (African oil palm). RNAcentral's name for it is "long non-coding RNA (EGUI_LNC003499)". Lineage: Eukaryota; Viridiplantae; Streptophyta; Magnoliopsida; Arecales; Arecaceae. The record is from RNAcentral.